UACGGGGGGGGCAAGCGUUGUUCGGAAUUAUUGGGCGUAAAGAGCGUGUAGGCGGUCCGGUAAGUCCGCUGUGAAAGUCGGGGGCUCAACCCUCGAAUGCCGGUGGAUACUGUCGGGCUAGAGUGCGGAAGAGGCGAGUGGAAUUCCUGGUGUAGCGGUGAAAUGCGCAGAUAUCAGGAGGAACACCUAUUGCGAAGGCAGCUCGCUGGGACGUCACUGACGCUGAGACGCGAAAGCGUGGGGAGCAAACAGG
This 253-nucleotide ribosomal RNA is filed under the name uncultured bacterium. Its description in RNAcentral is "partial 16S ribosomal RNA". It matches the Rfam family "Bacterial small subunit ribosomal RNA", at positions 524 to 776 of the family's 1533-position model. The record is from RNAcentral.